RNAcentral lists this long non-coding RNA (227 nucleotides) under Elaeis guineensis (African oil palm). RNAcentral's name for it is "long non-coding RNA (EGUI_LNC039690)". The record is from RNAcentral. Lineage: Eukaryota; Viridiplantae; Streptophyta; Magnoliopsida; Arecales; Arecaceae.
CGUGCCGAGUUAGAUCGUCAGACGUAUGUAGGUUGCAGGGUCCUGCUAUAGCAUCUUUAAGAACCGCCGCGUAACUCUGGUGUUGCAUAUCUAUGGCGGUAGCGGCAGAUCUGCAGCCCUGAGCAGUGGCCGCAACAUCUGACGCUCGAUACGACUGCGACGGGAGGGGAGUGAAGUCUGGGUUUGGAGCCUAAAAUUCUAUAGUUAAAUCUAAUACAGAUUUGCCG